AGAGUUUGAUCAUGGCUCAGAGCGAACGCUGGCGGCGUGCUUAACACAUGCAAGUCGAACGAGGGUAGCAAUACCUUCGUGGCGAACGGGUGCGUAACACGUGGAUAACCUUCCUUCAGGUGGGGAAUAACCCCGCGAAAGCGGGGCUAAUACCGCAUAACAAGACGAGGGCACAUGCCUUUGUCUUCAAAGGCGCAAGUCGCCGGAAGAGGGAUCCGCGGCCGAUUAGCUAGUUGGCGGGGUAACGGCCCACCAAGGCAAUGAUCGGUAGCCGGUCUGAGAGGAUGAUCGGCCACACUGGAACUGAGACACGGUCCAGACUCCUACGGGAGGCAGCAGUGGGGAAUCUUGCGCAAUGGGCGAAAGCCUGACGCAGCAACGCCGCGUGGGGGAUGAAGCUUCUCGGAGUGUAAACCCCUUUCGACCCGGACGAAUGCCCGCAAGGGCUUGACGGUACGGGUAUAAGAAGCCCCGGCUAACUACGUGCCAGCAGCCGCGGUAAAACGUAGGGGGCCAGCGUUGCUCGGAAUUACUGGGCGUAAAGGGUCCGUAGGCGGUGUGGCAAGUCGGAAGUGAAAUCUCUGGGCUUAACUCAGAGGCUGCUUCCGAAACUGCUGUGCUAGAGUGUGAGAGAGGCAAGUGGAAUUGCGGGUGUAGCGGUGAAAUGCGUAGAUAUCCGCAGGAACAUCCGAGGCGAAAGCGGCUUGCUGGAUCACAACUGACGCU
This 726-nucleotide ribosomal RNA is filed under the name uncultured soil bacterium. Its description in RNAcentral is "bacterial SSU rRNA". It matches the Rfam family "Bacterial small subunit ribosomal RNA", at positions 8 to 747 of the family's 1533-position model. The record is from RNAcentral.